RNAcentral lists this ribosomal RNA (998 nucleotides) under Diniatys sp. B TRO-2019. RNAcentral's name for it is "SSU rRNA". It matches the Rfam family "Eukaryotic small subunit ribosomal RNA", at positions 25 to 992 of the family's 1831-position model. Lineage: Eukaryota; Metazoa; Mollusca; Gastropoda; Cephalaspidea; Haminoeidae. The record is from RNAcentral.
CAUAUGCUUGUCUCAAAGAUUAAGCCAUGCAUGUCUAAGUUCACACUGUCUCACGGUGAAACCGCGAAUGGCUCAUUAAAUCAGUCGAGGUUCCUUAGAUGACACGAUCCUACUUGGAUAACUGUGGCAAUUCUAGAGCUAAUACAUGCCUAUGAAGCUCCGACCCUCGUGGAAAGAGCGCUUUUAUUAGUUCAAAACCAAUCGCCGUUCGUCUUCGGGCGGGCGGUGUCCCCAUUGGUGACUCUGGAUAACUUUGUGCUGAUCGCAUGGCCUUCGUGCCGGCGACGCAUCUUUCAAAUGUCUGCCCUAUCAAAUUUCGAUGGUACGUGAUAUGCCUACCAUGUUUGUAACGGGUAACGGGGAAUCAGGGUUCGAUUCCGGAGAGGGAGCAUGAGAAACGGCUACCACAUCCAAGGAAGGCAGCAGGCGCGCAACUUACCCACUCCCGGCACGGGGAGGUAGUGACGAAAAAUAACAAUACGGGACUCUCUACGAGGCUCCGUAAUUGGAAUGAGUACACUUUAAACCCUUUAACGAGGAUCUAUUGGAGGGCAAGUCUGGUGCCAGCAGCCGCGGUAAUUCCAGCUCCAAUAGCGUAUAUUAAAGUUGUUGCAGUUAAAAAGCUCGUAGUUGGAUCUCAGGUGCAGGCGGACGGUCCGGCUCGCGCCGGUUCACUGUCCGUAUUUCCUGCCCUACUGGUCUGCCGGCUCUCUCCCGUGGGUGCUCUUCGCUGAGCGUCCCGGGUGGCCGGCGCGUUUACUUUGAAAAAAUUAGAGUGUUCAAAGCAGGCCUCGGCUGCCUGAAUAAUGGUGCAUGGAAUAAUGGAAUAGGACCUCGGUUCUAUUUUGUUGGUUUUCGGAACUGGAGGUAAUGAUUAAAAGGGACAAACGGGGGCAUUCGUAUUGCGGCGUUAGAGGUGAAAUUCUUGGAUCGCCGCAAGACGAGCUACUGCGAAAGCAUUUGUCAAGAAUGUUUUCAUUAAUCAAGAACGAAAGUCA